Molecule: long non-coding RNA, 241 nt
Organism: Alosa alosa (allis shad)
Lineage: Eukaryota; Metazoa; Chordata; Actinopteri; Clupeiformes; Clupeidae
Exons: 3
Source: RefSeq, a predicted model, not a curated record
CACCAAUCUCACGGUUUCAAUGAAUGCACUUUCAUCAGGCCUGCAGGACACAGCUGGCCAACAGGGAGCAAAGAUGCAAGAGCUGGAAACUGCAGUGAACAACAUGUCAUCCACUUUAGACUCAGUUGCAUCCAAAAUGCAGGAAACUGUUGGUCAACAAGAAGGAAGGUUGAUGAAUCUGGAGACUAAAGCAGAUAAUAUGGCUUCCUCUUUAAAUUCACUGACAUCUAAACUACAGCAA